RNAcentral lists this ribosomal RNA (496 nucleotides) under uncultured bacterium. RNAcentral's name for it is "partial 16S ribosomal RNA". It matches the Rfam family "Bacterial small subunit ribosomal RNA", at positions 30 to 523 of the family's 1533-position model. The record is from RNAcentral.
AUUGAACGCUGGCGGAAUGCUUUACACAUGCAAGUCGAACGGUAGAGGGGGCAACCCCUCGAGAGUGGCGAACGGGUGAGUAAUAUAUCGGAACGUGCCCAGUCGUGGGGGAUAACGUAGCGAAAGUUACGCUAAUACCGCAUGCGAUCUAAGGAUGAAAGCGGGGGAUCGCAAGACCUCGCGCGAUUGGAGCGGCCGAUAGCAGAUUAGGUAGUUGGUGGGGUAAAGGCUCACCAAGCCAACGAUCUGUAGCUGGUCUGAGAGGACGACCAGCCACACUGGAACUGAGACACGGUCCAGACUCCUACGGGAGGCAGCAGUGGGGAAUUUUGGGCAAUGAACCAAAGUCUGAUCCAGCCAUUCCGCGUGCAGGAUGAAGGCCCCCGGGUUGUAAACUGCUUUUGUACGGAACGAAAAGGUCUCUCUUAAUACGGGGGACUCAUGACGGUACCGUAAGAAUAAGCACCGGCUAACUACGUGCCAGCCGCCGCGGUAA